AAGAAACAACUUGAUUCUGCCAAAACCAAGCUAGAAAAGCUGAGUACUGGUUGAUUACAAGUUGGUUCAUUGCUUCAAAACUUUACUGAUAUCUUUACUGGUGAGAAUACUUCAGUAGUGUCAACAUCACUGAUUACAGCUCUCUGGCCGCCUGAGUUUAGUCCCGUUCAAAUGCUGCAAUAUCUCAAAAUUCUAGGAAUUUGUGGUGGGGGGUGGUCAUCGCAUCAGUGGUUAAAAAUAUCAGGGUGAUGCCUUACUAUGCGUUUUAGACAAGAACAUUGUGUAUUUCAAUCCUUAAUUGGUUUAAUCCUCUUCCCAUCUUUGUCCUCUUUAUUGGAUAUAUCAUACAUGGUCGUGUGAAGUGGUUGUUUAUUAGGUGGCUAGCUAGCUUUUAAGGGUUUUUUGGCAAGAUCUUCAUCAUUCAUUAGAAUGCCAGUUUUGGUCAAUAUUCCUUGUGAACCUCUGAAAACAGCAUAUGUACAAUUUAACUUUGUGACAAAUGCAGUCAGAAAACACCUCAUGUUUACUUAAAGAAUUGUAAGGAAGAAAAUGAGGAAGGGAAAA
Molecule: unclassified non-coding RNA, 564 nt
Filed under: Hevea brasiliensis (rubber tree)
Lineage: Eukaryota; Viridiplantae; Streptophyta; Magnoliopsida; Malpighiales; Euphorbiaceae
Source: RNAcentral